UACGUAGGGUGCGAGCGUUAAUCGGAAUUACUGGGCGUAAAGCGUGCGCAGGCGGUGAUGUAAGACAGGUGUGAAAUCCCCGGGCUUAACCUGGGAACUGCAUUUGUGACUGCAUCGCUGGAGUGCGGCAGAGGGGGAUGGAAUUCCGCGUGUAGCAGUGAAAUGCGUAGAUAUCGGGAAGAACACCAGUGGCGAAAGCGCUCUACUGGGCCAUAACUGACACUGAGGGACGAAAGCUAGGGGAGCGAAAGGG
RNAcentral lists this ribosomal RNA (253 nucleotides) under uncultured bacterium. Its description in RNAcentral is "partial 16S ribosomal RNA". It matches the Rfam family "Bacterial small subunit ribosomal RNA", at positions 524 to 776 of the family's 1533-position model. The record is from RNAcentral.